AUCACUUGGGGGUGUUGUUAAAAUGCAGAUUCUGAGUCAGGUCUUAGGGUCUGCAUUUCUAACAAGCUCCCUGCUGGGGCUGAUGCUGCU
Molecule: microRNA precursor, 90 nt
Filed under: Dasypus novemcinctus (nine-banded armadillo)
Lineage: Eukaryota; Metazoa; Chordata; Mammalia; Cingulata; Dasypodidae
Description: miRNA (ENSDNOG00000036186.1)
Source: RNAcentral